GGGGGGGGGGGGGGGGGGGCGGGGGGGGUGGGAGGGGGGCGGUGAGGCGCCUGCCUUUUUGGUGGGUGGGGAGGAGUGGCGAACGGGUGAGUAACACGUGAGUCACCUGCCCCGUUCUUCUGGAUAACCGCAUGAAAGUGUGGCUAAUACGGGCUAUUCUGGGUCUGUCGCAUGCUGGGUCUUGGCAAUAUAUUGUUUCGGUGGUGGAUGGGCUCGCGGCCUAUCAGCUUGUUGGUGGGGUGAUGGCCUACCAAGGCGGUGACGUGUAGCCGGCCUGAGAGGGUGGACGGUCACAAUGGGACGGAGACACGGCCCAGACUCCUACGGGAGGCAGCAGUGGGGAAUAUUGCACAAUGGGCGCAAGCCAGAUGCAGCGACGCCGCGUGAGGGAUGGAGGCCUUCGGGUUGUGAACCUCUUUCGCCAGUGAAGCAGGCCUGCCUCGUUUGUGGGUGGGUUGACGGUAGCUGGAUAAGAAGCGCCGGCUAACUACGUG
RNAcentral lists this ribosomal RNA (494 nucleotides) under uncultured bacterium. Its description in RNAcentral is "partial 16S ribosomal RNA". It matches the Rfam family "Bacterial small subunit ribosomal RNA", at positions 38 to 507 of the family's 1533-position model. The record is from RNAcentral.